CGUGGGUAACCUGCCCAAGAGAUCGGGAUAACACCUGGAAACAGAUGCUAAUACCGGAUAAUAACAGAUGAUGCCUAUCAACUGUUUAAAAGAUGGUUCUGCUAUCACUCUUGGAUGGACCUGCGGUGCAUUAGCUAGUUGGUAGGGUAACGGCCUACCAAGGCGAUGAUGCAUAGCCGAGUUGAGAGACUGAUCGGCCACAUUGGGACUGAGACACGGCCCAAACUCCUACGGGAGGCAGCAGGG
This 246-nucleotide ribosomal RNA is filed under the name uncultured Lactobacillus sp. RNAcentral describes it as "partial 16S ribosomal RNA". It matches the Rfam family "Bacterial small subunit ribosomal RNA", at positions 116 to 354 of the family's 1533-position model. Lineage: Bacteria; Bacillati; Bacillota; Bacilli; Lactobacillales; Lactobacillaceae. The record is from RNAcentral.